This 403-nucleotide ribosomal RNA is filed under the name uncultured bacterium. Its description in RNAcentral is "bacterial SSU rRNA". It matches the Rfam family "Bacterial small subunit ribosomal RNA", at positions 338 to 759 of the family's 1533-position model. The record is from RNAcentral.
CCUACGGGAGGCAACAGUGGGGAAUAUUGCACAAUGGGCGAAAGCCUGAUGCAGCAACGCCGCAUGAGCGAUGAAGGCCUUCGGGUCGUAAAGCUCUGUCCUCAAGGAAGAUAAUGACGGUACUUGAGGAGGAAGCCCGGGCUAAUUACGUGCCAGCAGCCGCGGUAAUACGUAGGGGGCGAGCGUUAUCGGGAAUUACUGGGUGUAAAGGGUGCGUAGGUGGUUUUUUAAGUCAGAGGUGAAAGGCUACGGCUCAACCGUAGUAAGCCUUUGAAACUGGGAAACUUGAGUGCGGGAGAGGAGAGUGGAAUUCCUAGUGUAGCGGUGAAAUGCGUAGAUAUUAGGAGGAACACCAGUUGCGAGGGCGGCUCUCUGGACUGUAACUGACAGUGAGGCACGAAAG